RNAcentral lists this ribosomal RNA (613 nucleotides) under uncultured bacterium. Its description in RNAcentral is "bacterial SSU rRNA". It matches the Rfam family "Bacterial small subunit ribosomal RNA", at positions 210 to 842 of the family's 1533-position model. The record is from RNAcentral.
GUGAGCCAGUACAGGAUGGACCCGCGUCUGAUUAGCUAGUUGGUAAGGUAACGGCUUACCAAGGCGACGAUCAGUAGCCGACCUGAGAGGGUGAUCGGCCACAUUGGAACUGAGACACGGUCCAAACUCCUACGGGAGGCAGCAGUGGGGAAUAUUGCACAAUGGGCGAAAGCCUGAUGCAGCAACGCCGCGUGAGUGAUGAAGGCCUUCGGGUCGUAAAACUCUGUCCUCAAGGAAGAUAAUGACGGUACUUGAGGAGGAAGCCCCGGCUAACUACGUGCCAGCAGCCGCGGUAAUACGUAGGGGGCUAGCGUUAUCCGGAUUUACUGGGCGUAAAGGGUGCGUAGGCGGUCUUUCAAGUCAGGAGUGAAAGGCUACGGCUCAACCGUAGUAAGCUCUUGAAACUGGGAGACUUGAGUGCAGGAGAGGAGAGUGGAAUUCCUAGUGUAGCGGUGAAAUGCGUAGAUAUUAGGAGGAACACCAGUUGCGAAGGCGGCUCUCUGGACUGUAACUGACGCUGAGGCACGAAAGCGUGGGGAGCAAACAGGAUUAGAUACCCUGGUAGUCCACGCUGUAAACGAUGAGUACUAGGUGUCGGGGGUUACCCCCUUCG